Molecule: long non-coding RNA, 2679 nt
Filed under: Heterocephalus glaber (naked mole-rat)
Lineage: Eukaryota; Metazoa; Chordata; Mammalia; Rodentia; Bathyergidae
Description: lncRNA (ENSHGLG00000046549.1)
Source: RNAcentral
GUGUUAUCUGAUUCAUACUUUAACCAGCUCUAGGAAGUCACAGAAUCAUUCUGUCACUGUCCUCAUGUUACUGAAUACUGAUGUAUGUGAAGAAUACUGAUGUGCAGCUGGGCAUGGUGGUGCAUGCCUGUAAUAUCAGCCCUCCAGAGGCUGAGGCAGGAGAAUGGCAGUAAAGUUGAGGCCAGCUUGGGCUACAUAGUGGGUUCAAGGCCAGCCUGAACUACUAUAUAGUGAGAUCCUGUCUCAAAAUUAUAUAUAUAUAUAUACAUAUACAUACAUAUAUAUAUAUAUAUAUAUGUGCAGAAGGCUAAGGUAACUUAACUGAGAUCACAGAGCUAGGAAGUAAUGGCUGGGGUCUGGACCUGGAACCUGAUUCCAAAGUUCUGACAGUUCACCAGCACAUAGAAUUGCUUCUAGAGAGGUUUGUUCUGUUUAUCCAGGGAGAGACUGGCAAUUAUGGUCUCCCUCUGCUUUCAAGCAAGCAUUAGGAGACUGUCCUGGCUGUCUGGCUUCCUGGUCUUGUAUCUACUUUUUAAAUGAUUAUUUUAUUUACAUAUUCUUGGGUCAUGGCUGCCUGUAGCUCAGUUUCACAGGAUGGGAGAGAAUAUCCAUGAUAAUAAAUUUUCCAUCUGCCUUUCUCCAAAUGCCCUCCCUGCCCGAACCCUGUUAAAUUUUAGCAUAUUUCCCAGAGGUGGUCUUCAUGUUUAAAACUUAGAAAAAAUCCUUUUUUUUUUUUAGACAGGGUUUAUCUAUGUAGUUCGGGCUGGCCUUGAACUUAUUACUGUAUUUCCCAGAAAAUAACACCAGAAAAUGAGCUCUAGCAUGAUAUUUACAAUGCUUAUAAGCCCUACCCUAAAAAUAAACCCCACUUAAGAUUGUCAGCCAAGAGUAUGGAACAGCAGGAGAAUGGGGAAAAAAUAAGAACCAAGAUACAUCAGGUGCUGGUACAAAUUCCCAAUGAUGAAUGUCAACAUAUUGUAUACCUAAUAACAAUAAACUUAAUGAAAAAAAAAAGAUUGUCAGCCAGAUGGCUGCAUUUAGUUUGUCUGUUGCAACACAUGAUAUAUGUAUUGAAUUGUAAAAUAAUAAUAUUAAUAUAUAAUUAAAUAUAAGUAAAUAGUAUUAUUGACAAUAUUUUAAAUAAACGACAAUAUAAACUAUAAUUUGGGUAUUAGUAAAUGCCCAAGCAGGUGCCUUUGCAGAAGAGGUAAAUUCUUCUGUAAAUAGAUGAACAGGAGACUGAUUGCUGAAUGACCAAUCCAAGUAGAGAUACAAUGCAUGUAUAAUGUACACACUUGAUAACAGACAGAGUUGGUUGUGUCUAAAAUGAAUCUGCAUAAUUCGAUAUGGCAUGUGUUGUAAUGGAUUUGUGUGAAAUAAGGAAACAUUUUCUGAAUUUUUGUACCUGCCAUUUUUUGUCUCUUUUGUGUGGACAAUCAUUCUUAACUGUCAUCAUUUUUGUUGCCACUCCUAUCUCCUAAGUCUUCAAUUAACACUUGAUCUAAUGGAAACUUUGUGAAGCCCACCCUGCAGGAGGUUGAGACUUGGGUGAAGAAGUGAUAGAAUAAAAUUGCUGACAGCUACGUAACCAAUGCAUUAUAAGUGCACCACAUGGACAGAAGCAUUCAUGUUUGAUGUAAAAAUAAAAUGGGCAAGCAGAUGUGAAAGCUGUAAAAUGUGUUGCACCUGAGAAGAAAUAUUCUCCAAUUAGUAGUAAAGAAGACUCUGCCUUGCAGGCAACUGGGGAAAUGCCCACUCCCCUUUUGGGCCCCUCCACUGAAAUCUGGUAAUAAGUCAUAACAGCUCAAUCUUGUUGCUAUAUUUCACAUCCUAAAUUCAAGCUGACCUUCUGAGAAGGAUUGUAAGGUGAAUCAGGUUCAGCCUUGUUGUUUUACAGAUGAAGACUGAGGCCCAAGUUCUCAAGGCUGAGAAGUCCUAGAUCAAGGUGCCAGCAAAUUCAAUGUCCAGUAAGGACCAGUUUUCUGGGUCCUAAAAACCUCUUCUUGCUGCAUCCACAGGAGGUGAAGGGGAUGAGGAGAGCUCUGGUAUUUGUUUUGUAAAGAAACUGAUCCUAAACCCUCAUGACUCAGUUCCAUUUCAAAGGCCCCACCUUCUAAAUCUCAUAUUAGGGGUUGAAAUUUCAACAUAGAAAUUUGGUGAGGGGCAGGACAUGCAGGCAUUCAGUCUGCAAAAGUCAUGAGAGAAAAGCCAGUAAAGUUAGAGACCAAGCUUAAUUCCCAGCUGUGUGACUUGGGCCAAGCCAUAGAAAUUCUCUGAGUCUCAGGUUCUACUGAAAAUGGACUUGCAAGCAUGUAUAUUUAAAGGAUUAAAUUGACCAACAUGUAAAGAACUUAACACAUUAUUUGGCACUGAGUAAAUUUUUAAGGUAUUAGCUCAAAUAUAAGACAGGCAUAAUUAAGUAGGAAAAUAUGUGAUUUAGAGUUGUACAAUUUUUAAAUUUAGAAAAAAAAAGUACAAACUCUCUAAUCCAGUGUUUCUCCAAUAAUGGUCUGUGGAUUGCUGCCAGUUUUUGACAAUUUUUAUUUCCAGUCUGCAGCAAAAUAUAAAAACAGAAAGGCAGUGUAACGGGAAACUAUUCUUUCUUUGGUGUUCAGUGUCACUUUUUUUUUUUUUUUUUUUUUGUGUCACUUUUUCAAUGAGCUAAUGAAAGGCAGGUGG